AACGUACGCUGGCGGCACGCCUUAUACAUGCAAGUCGAACGCAGUAGCAAUACUGAGUGGCAAACGGGUGAGUAUAAUGUGGGAAUCUGCCUUUUGGUUUGGAAUAACACGGGGAAACUUGUGCUAAUACCGGAUAAGCCUUCACAGGGAAAGUUUUAUACGCCGAAAGAUGAGCCCGCACUUGAUUAGCUAGUUGGUGAGGUAAAAGCUUACCAAGGCAAUAAUCAAUAGCUGGUCUGAGAGGAUGAUCAGCCACAUUGGGACUGAGACACGGCCCAGACUCCUACGGGAGGCAGCAGUAAGGAAUCUUGCACAAUGGGGGAAACCCUGAUGCAGCGAUGCCGCGUGAGUGAAGAAGGCCCUUGGGUUGUAAAACUCUUUCGUCGGGGAAGAAAAUGACUGUACCCGAAUAAGAAGGUCCGGCUAACUUCG
RNAcentral lists this ribosomal RNA (432 nucleotides) under uncultured Pelagibacteraceae bacterium. RNAcentral describes it as "bacterial SSU rRNA". It matches the Rfam family "Bacterial small subunit ribosomal RNA", at positions 29 to 505 of the family's 1533-position model. Lineage: Bacteria; Pseudomonadati; Pseudomonadota; Alphaproteobacteria; Candidatus Pelagibacterales; Candidatus Pelagibacteraceae. The record is from RNAcentral.